Punica granatum (pomegranate) is the source of this 81-nucleotide non-coding RNA. The record is from Rfam. NCBI's taxonomy places the organism in Eukaryota, Viridiplantae, Streptophyta, Magnoliopsida, Myrtales, Lythraceae.
CACUGUGAUGGAAAACUGGAGAUGCUGAACCAGAUUGACCAGAGAAAGAUGUUGCAAAAGACCGUCCACUACUAUCUGGAA